RNAcentral lists this long non-coding RNA (241 nucleotides) under Capsella grandiflora. RNAcentral's name for it is "long non-coding RNA (CGRA_LNC000971)". Lineage: Eukaryota; Viridiplantae; Streptophyta; Magnoliopsida; Brassicales; Brassicaceae. The record is from RNAcentral.
CUUAUGGAAAUGGAGGUACAUAUGAACAAAGAAGUAGAUAAACAAUAGGAUCCUCGCAACCCAUAUAUAAAAAGCAGAGACAUUUGGUUUAUUUUUCUUCACAGCUAAAACACAGAGAUUUGUUUUGGUCUAUUUAAGAGUACCAGCCAACCCAAGAACAGGGCAAUCCCGUUGAGCGUGUAAGCCUUAGAGCCUUUUUGACCACUAGUAUCCAAAUACCUGCCAUCACCACAACUGAUGU